AGCGAACAAGUACCGCGAGGGAAAGAUGAAAAGAACUUUGAAAAAAGAGUCAAAGAGUGCUUGAAAUUGUCGGGAGGGAAGCGGAUGGGGGUCGGCGAUGCGUCCCGGUCGGAUGUGGAACGGCGACGAGCCGGUCCGCCGAUCGACUCGGGGCGUGGACCAGCACGAAUUGAGGCGGCGGCCAAAGCCCGGGCAGUCGAUAUGCCCGUGGAAUGCCGUCGCCCCGAUUGUGGCGGACAGCGCGCGCCCUCGGCGUGCCUCGGCAUCUGCGCGCUCCCGGUGCUGGCCUGCGGGCUCCCCAUUCGACCCGUCUUGGAACACGGACCAAGGAGUCUAACAUGUGUGCGAGUUUUUGGGUGGCAAACCCAUGAGCGUAAUGAAAGUGAAUGCAGGUGGGAUCCGCAAGGAGCACCAUCGACCGACCAUGUCCCUUCGGGGUAAAGGUUUGAGUGUGAGCAUUUAUGUUGGGACCCGAAAGAUGGUGAACUAUGCCUGAAUAGGGCGAAGCCAGGGGAAACUCUGGUGGAGGCUCGUAGCGGUUCUGACGUGCAAAUCGAUCGUCGAAUCUGGGCAUGGGGGCGAAAGACUAAUCGAGCCAUCUGGUAGCUGGUUCCUGCCGAAGUUUCCCUCAGGAUAGCAGUAACGUUUUCAGUUUUAUGAGGUAAAGCGAAUGAUUAGGGACUCGGGGGCGCUUUUUAGCCUUCAUCCAUUCUCAAACUUUAAAUAUGUAAGAAGUCCUUGUUACUUAAUUGAACGUGGACAUGCGAAUGAGAGUUUCUAGUGGGCCAUUUUUGGUAAGC
Molecule: ribosomal RNA, 800 nt
Filed under: Ochromonas sp. CCMP1393
Lineage: Eukaryota; Chrysophyceae; Chromulinales; Chromulinaceae
Description: partial Eukaryotic large subunit ribosomal RNA
Rfam family: Eukaryotic large subunit ribosomal RNA
Source: RNAcentral